GCCAGGCAUAGUGAUGCACACCUGUAAUCCCAGUGGCUUGGGAGGCUGAGGCGGGAGAAUCACAAGUUCAAAGCCAGCCUCAGCAACUUAGCGAGAACCUAAGCAACUUAGUGAAACCCUGUCUCUA
Molecule: small RNA, 127 nt
Filed under: Marmota monax (woodchuck)
Lineage: Eukaryota; Metazoa; Chordata; Mammalia; Rodentia; Sciuridae
Source: RNAcentral